UCCUUAGUGGUCCAGUAGUUAAGAUUCUGCACUUCCACUGCAGGGGGUGUGGGUUCGAUCCCUGUCAGGGAA
RNAcentral lists this transfer RNA (72 nucleotides) under Ovis aries (sheep). It matches the Rfam family "tRNA". From Rfam's summary of the family: Transfer RNA (tRNA) molecules are approximately 80 nucleotides in length. Their secondary structure includes four short double-helical elements and three loops (D, anti-codon, and T loops). Further hydrogen bonds mediate the characteristic L-shaped molecular structure. tRNAs have two regions of fundamental functional importance: the anti-codon, which is responsible for specific mRNA codon recognition, and the 3' end, to which the tRNAs corresponding amino acid is attached (by aminoacyl-tRNA synthetases). tRNAs cope with the degeneracy of the genetic code in two manners: having more than one tRNA (with a specific anti-codon) for a particular amino acid; and 'wobble' base-pairing, i.e. permitting non-standard base-pairing at the 3rd anti-codon position. The record is from Rfam by way of RNAcentral. Lineage: Eukaryota; Metazoa; Chordata; Mammalia; Artiodactyla; Bovidae.